This 83-nucleotide transfer RNA is filed under the name Perca fluviatilis (European perch). It matches the Rfam family "tRNA". Rfam says of the family: Transfer RNA (tRNA) molecules are approximately 80 nucleotides in length. Their secondary structure includes four short double-helical elements and three loops (D, anti-codon, and T loops). Lineage: Eukaryota; Metazoa; Chordata; Actinopteri; Perciformes; Percidae. The record is from Rfam by way of RNAcentral.
AUCAGGAUGGCCGAGAGGUUAAUGCAUUGCACUCAAGAUGCAAUGGACAGUAGUCCUUGUGGGUUCAAAUCCUACUCCUGGUA